This is a long non-coding RNA of Vidua macroura (Pin-tailed whydah), 471 nucleotides long. RefSeq lists it as uncharacterized. The record is from RefSeq and is a predicted model, not a curated record. Lineage: Eukaryota; Metazoa; Chordata; Aves; Passeriformes; Viduidae. The transcript is spliced from 3 exons.
GAGAGCAGCGGAGCAUCCCCCCGGGGCAAGGACCACAGAGACCCAUGGAGUGGCAAAGACGGUGCCGGGAUGGGGCGGAAGGAGCCUGGACACCCACCGGAGCAUCCCCCUGAUCCUAGGAAUCCCCACGGAGCACGGAGUGCGGCGCACCAUCGGCCUGGAGCGAGGACCACGGUGUCGGGAGCACCACGGAGAGCAGUGGAGCAUCCCCGGGGUGAGGACGACGGUGCCAGGACCACUGCGGAGAUUGAGAUAGCAUCCGCCGGGGUGGAGGAAUCCCGACGGAGAGCGGCGGAGCAUCCCCGGGGUUGAUGAGGGAGGCCACAGACAGAGCAUCCCCCGGGGCAGCGGCGGUGACGGUGCCGGGAUCGGGCGGAAGCUCCGUGGACCCCCACCGGAGCAUCCCCCACAAUUAAGGCCCGUCCCCCUCCCUCCAAUUUCUGAAAUAAAUUUGACAAAAAUCUCAUUAAA